UCGCCUUCGGAGGCUAUUCAGUGAGUUCACUCUGGGAGGAUCGUGAUCCUUCGGUUGGUCGGUGAAUCCGCCGUCCUCCUCGCCAUAGCCAGAGAGGGGCUGGGAAGGAAAGUGUGGGGGCCUGGCUGGGCUGAUGACUCAGGGCCACGCACCGCACAAGGAGUGAGGGAGGAGGGGGAGGGAGGGAGGAAUUACUCAGAGCAUGUGGAAUCUCAUACAGCUAUCACAGGACAGACACUGUGCUUCUACUAGGCUCUGAGGCUCUGUAGUCUGUCCUUAGACACAGUGGUAAUGGCAGUGGUAAGACGGCUAAGGGCCAUUGGUUUCCAUUGAAGAGGAACAGAACAGAGCAGUAUACUCUUGUACUCGCACUUUGAAACAAAGUCAUGCCCCCCUUCUUAUUGAAUGAAUUACGUCUUUCUAUUACAGCAAGUCGGUGCAGGUUGGAAGCUCUGCAACUCCAGCAAAGUAAUUAAGCAUUGCAUGCUGUCAAAAUAUUCCAUUACAAAAGUCUUGAAGAUUUGGGAAGUGUCUCCGAUGAUUAUCUAGAUGGGAGGGGGAGGUGAGUUGGGCCGUUUAUUGUCCAGUUCUUCCUGUUUCUUUCUUGAGUGAUGAUGCUCCUCCUCCAGCUCUGUCAUUGGAGAAAUCCUUUCGAAUGACCAAGCUUCAUUGAGUGAUGAUGACAAACAUUUCCAGAAAGAGAAUAUAAGUGGUGAGAGAACUACCUGUAUGACAUGCGAUACGGACUCUCUAUGCGCCCCCUCUAGUGUGAGUCAUCAGGCCUAAAGACGCCGAGCUGUGAGUGGUGAAUCAGGUGUUGAUAAUGGCCAACAGUGGCCGGCCCCACACAGGUGGGGGCUGGUGUGUGUAUUGUGUGCAGUGUGUGCAUGUAUUGUGUGAUGUGAGUGUGGAGGGAGAUUAUGGUGUGUGUGUGUGUCUUCAUGAAGGGGGGUUGAUGUUGUGUGAUGCAUGACUCAACAGGAGAGAAGGCCACACCCAUGGGACGAGCCCAGGCUCCCUUCAGCGGCGGCAUGGGCCUAGAUUUCACUGACUAUGGGUGCCACGAUUAAAGUGUAUUGGCCUAACUGAUGAAGCUCAAACACUUGAAGAGCCACUCAAAUCCUGCAAAACACUCCGACACAAAGGCAGAGAGGCCGGGCGAGAAAGUGGAGCACACCUUCACCCUCUGCUGUAUCCCCCUUUAUAAAUAAACUCUUCCAACCUGAUUUCAGCCAACCAGCUACUGAGAGUCUGGGCCCGUAUUCACAACGCGUCUCAGAGUAGCAGUGCUGAUCUAGGAUCAGGUCCCCCCGUCCAUACAAUCAUAUUCAUUAUGAUCUAAAAGGCAAAAAACGGAACCUAGAUCUGCACUCCUACUCUGAGACACUUUAUGAUAGGGACAACCCAGAGUAAACAGAACGACUUAGCCAUGGCUUAACCAUGUGUUGCAUCUCCAUAAUGGUAAUUUCCUCCAGUAAUUACUAAUCAUUAAAGGUCUCACUCCCAAAUCACCUGGUUAGUGUUUAUAAUACGGUCUGCCUUGGUAAAUUCCCAUAAUUCUGAAAUAGCCUGAUUGUGUUUAAUUGGAGCAUUCACUAAAGAGUCCACCCACCAGCAUCAACAAAUCCAAGGUAUUUUAACAGCAGGGAACAAUUUAAUCCGCCUCUAUAUAUCACCAUUGUAAACAUCCAAGACACAGAGCCCAAUGUUGCACAAUGAGCCUGAGUUGAGGAGGAGGAGGAGUUGAAAGGUCAGGUAAACACUUGUCCCAGGCUUUCCCUGCCUUUUUAAUCAGGACUCCUGUCCAUUUUUAUCUUGGUUAGAUCUCUUGACUUAUGGCUGUGUACACUAAUGCUGCACUUCUGGCGGCUCCUUAACUCACUGUUUGGUUUCUUUCAUAUGGACGGGAAUGUCAAGUUGCUUGUUGGCCUGGAGGCUUGUGCGCUGAGUUGCCGACAAAGCAUGAAAUGAAUCCUUUGCAGGCUAAUGGGCGGGCCAACCGUUUCCAGUGUUUGUCAUGGUACAAACUCUGCUGUCCCGGGGGGAGCAAAUCAAGUACACUAUAGGCCUACCAAUCGGAGGACUGUCUGCAGUAACAUAGCAGGCAUAAAAGAAAGCUACAGCAAAGGCGCUACAGAGGCUAGUGUGUACCAGUACAUCACUGGGGCCAAGCUUCCUGCCAUCCAGGACCUAUAUACUAAGGAGGUGUCAGAAAAAGGCCCCAAAAAUUGUCAAAGACUCCAGUCACCCAAGUCAUAGACUGUUCUCUCUGCUACUGCACGGCAAGCCAAGUCUAGGACCAAAAGGCUCCUUAACAGCUUCUACCCCCAAGCCAUAAGACUGCUGAACAAUUAAUCAAAUGGCCAGCCGGACUAUAUACAUUGACCACCACUCCCCCUUUGUUUUUACACUGCUGCUACUCGCUGUUUAUUAUCUAUGCAUAGUCACUUUACAAAUUACCUCAACUAACCUGUACCCACGCACAUUGACUCGGUACCGGUGUCCCCUGUAUAUAGCCUCAUUGUUAUGCAAUUUUCUUGUUACUUUUUGAUUUUAUUACUUUUUUAAACUUUCAUUUAUUUAGUAAAUAUUUUCUUAACUCUAUUUCUUGAACUGCAUUGUUGGUUAAGGGCUUGUAAGCAUUUCACUGUGAGCAUUUCACCGUUGCAUUUGGCGCAUGUGACAAAUAACAUUUGAUUUGAAGACUGUGUCCCUUUUUGGACAGUGUCAGAGGAGGACCCUAAGUCUGCUGCUCUCUCCCUCCGCUGAGACUGACCAUCAGAUGCAGGCUCCAUCAGCCUAGUAAAAUAACAAUGAUUGAAAUGUAUGCUUAUUCACCUGUGCCUCACAAUAAUACACCUGCUCUGUUACCGGUGUGAUCAUAUAGCCUACCUUAAAUGUUGAAAUAUAAUUGUAAAAAAGGGUCUGAGAAGCAAAGCCAAUAUGCAGUGAUAAUAUAUUGGGCCUAUAGCCUACUGCACAAACCUCAUUACUACAGCACCGUUUUGAAUAGGUUAAUGUUGCCUAGGCUUACGUUUUUAAAUCAUGUACAAAAAAACGGUUGAACGGUAGAUCUCGGCUUGCAUUUUGACUCAGAAAUUGAUCCGACUCAGAAAAGGGAUGUGACCACCUGCUUUAGAUCAUUCCAGGUGGUCCCUGCCUUCUUCGUCUUUUAUUAUUCCGCUUCAUCCUCUUCAAUGUCUUCAUCUUCUUCUCAAUAAAUAGGUUUUAGUCAGUAGCCAACUGUUGCAUCAAUGCACGCUACCAUUUCUAGAACAUGGCUGUAGAUUUCUUCUGAAGUAGGGUGAUAUUUAUGAUGUAACACACCACACAACUGCAGUCUUCUUAAGCUUUAGCAGCCUCCGCCACGGCCAUUUUAGAUAUAUAAAGUUAAUAAAGAAGUUGUAUUGGAGUAAACACUCGUCUCCGUUCCCAGAGCGAGAGAGAAGAAAAUUUAUGUAGUGCAGUAAAUUGAACUCAACUUUGCCUCGUUCAUGAACUCCCCUAAAAAUAACCUGUUCCAACAAGUGAAACCCUUUCCAGCUAAGCUAACACAAAGGCCCUUUAAAGUAACAUAAGAUAAUUGAUUUUCAAUUAUGAGAUAUCAAUUUAAACCAGGUUAGCCUCUGUCAAAGGCUGAGAAACGCUUGAAAAGUGUCGGGCAUAACCAUAUAAAGGUAUUUUCUCUAAAUACUUUGAUACAGUGCUUUCAGAAAGUAUUCACGCACCUUGACUUAUUCCACAUUUUGUUGUGUUACAGCCUGAAUUUAAAAUGGAUUAAAUUCAGAUGUUGUGUCACUGGCUUGCACACAAUACCCCAAACAAACAGGUCUGGAUGAGAUCUUUUUUGGUCAGUGCCCCCGCAAGGCUCACAAAAUCAUUUUAGACCCAAGCCACCCCCUGUACCCGGACUUUGAACUACUCCCCUCGGGCGCAGGUAUAGGACACCCCUCAGCAGGAAAAACACAACUAGACAGUAAUUUGUGCCAGGUGUGAUAUCCCUCCUAAAUAGCUCGGGCUAAUGUUCCUAUCGACUCAGUAAGGCCAGCAGGCUAGUCUUUUUUAUUCUUGAUUAUGUUUUAUUGGUAUGUAACUGUUAUGAAAGUUGUAUUGUCAAUUUUGUUUUGUAUUUAAACGCCACUUUAAACGUGUACAUGACACUGCAACAACAUUUCCCCAUGGGGACAAAGUCAGUAAGUAAGUAAUGUCAAAGUGGAAUUUUUUACAAAUGAAUUAAAAAUGAAAAUCUGAAAUGUCUUGAGUCAAUAAGUAUUCAACCUCUUUGUUAAGGCAAGCUUAAAUAAGUUCAGGAGUAAAAAUGUGCUUAACAAGUCACAUAAUAAUUUGUAUGGACUCACUCUGUAUGCAAUAAUUGUUUAACAUGUAUUUUUUUAUGACUACCUCAUCUCUGUACCCCACACAUACAAUUAUCUGUAAGGUCCCUCAGUCGAGCAGUGAAUUACAAACACAGAAACCAGGGAGGUUUUCUAAUGCCUCACAAAGGGCACCUAUUGGUAGAUACAUCAAAUAAAAAUAGCACAUUGAAUAUCCCUUUGAGCGUGGUGAAAUUAUGAAUUACACGUUGGAUGGUGUAUCAAUACACACAAUCACUACAAAGACACAGGUGUCCUUCAUAAUGCCGUUUUUGGAGAGGAAGGAGAAUGCUCAGGGAUUUCACCAUGAGGCCAAUGGUGCCAUUAAAACAGUUACAGAGUUGGCUAUGAUAGGAGAACUGAGGAUGGAUCAACAACAUUGUAGUUACUCCACAAUACUAACCUGAAUGAAAAGAGUGAAAAGGAAGCCUGUACAGAAAAAAAAUAUUCCAAAACAUGCAUCCUGUUUGCAAUAAUGCACUAAAGUAAAACUUCAAAACGUGGCAAAAAUGUUAACAUUUUGUCCAGAAUACAAAGCGUUAUAUUUUGGGAUAAUCCAGCACAACACAUCAUGGAGUACCACUCUUCAUAUUUUCAAGCAUGGUGGGUGUCUGCAUCAUGAAUAUGAUUGUCAUCGGCAAGGACUAGGGAGUUUCUUUCGGAUAAAAAAUAAACAGAAUAGAGAUAAGCACAGGCACAAUCCUAGUAGAAAACCUGGUUCAGUCUGCUUUCCAAAAGACACUUGGAGACAAAUUCACCUUUCAGCAGGACAAUAACUUAAAACAAGGCCAAAUAUACACUGGAGUUGCUUACCAAGAUGACAUUGAAAGUUCCUGAGUGGCCUAGUUAAUUUUUUAAACUUAAAUCUGCUUGAGAAUCUAUAUCAAGACUUGAAAAUGUCUCUCUAGCAAUGAUCAACAACCAACUUGACAAAGCUUGAAUAUUUUUUUAAAUAAUAAUGUGCAAAUAUUGUACAAUCCAGGUGUGUAAAACUCUUAGAGACUUACCCAGAAAUACUUACCACUGUAAUCGCUGCCAAAGAUUUUUCUAACAUGUAUUGACUCAGGGGUGUGAAUACUUAUGUAAAUGAGAUAUUUCUGUAUUUCAUUUUCAAUACAUUUACAAACAUGUUUUCACGUUAUCUUAUGGGGUAUUGUGUGUAGAUGGGUGAGAAGAACAUCUAUUGAAUGCAUUUUGAAUUCAGGCUGGAACACAACAUGUGGAAGGGUAUAUAUGAAUACUUUCUGAAGACACUGUAUAUCCCACAGAAAACACAUUCACACACACACACACACACACACACACACACACACACACACACACACACACACACACACGUCGAUCCUGGGUGUCUGCUGAGGUGUUGAGGGGGGGAUUGGCUGCCGAGUAACAGAGGCUGCAAAAAAUUAGUAUACAGAGUAGUGAUGUAGCCUCGAAUGCCCUCUGGUUAACAGAGAGGAUAGCAUGAACACACCACACUUUCUCUAUUCUUUUCAUCUCUUCCUUUUUCUCUCUCUUUUUCCUCUCCCUCUCCUCUCCCUCCUCAGGUUCAGACAGUUUAAAGGCCAUGUGAUUCGACUGAGCCCCGGCUGUGUGGGAUACUCUAGGACUCCAGCAUUAAGAUAAUGAGACAGUCACGGUGGGGCUAGUUUUACAGGAAGUCAACCGGAGUAGUGAGAAUCUUUAAACUACUCUCAAGUCUCAUUCAGAGAGAGAGAGAGAGGUAACCCUGUGGUGGGCGUAAGUAAGAGGAUGGAUGGUUUAAUUGGGCGAAGAGAAUGAAAUGGAUUCAUUUCUGGUUUGUUUAAAAGGCGUAGUAAUUAGAGGUGGGAACAGAGUAGUAUUAGCAGCAGGGGUGGGAGAGAAGUGAAGUGAAAGCUCAACAUUUCCCAUUAGAAACUGCAUCUAGGCCGGUCAUGUGUGUUAAAUAGCCAUCUGAUUGGCUGACUGACUACUGUUGUAUAGGUCUGUUAUACUGUACAGAGCACUAGGUAGUCAUGAGCUUAGAGAAUCAACUCCCUUGUAAACCAGAUGACCAUCUCAGUGGGACUCGCCAGGUUAAAAAAAGGGUAGAUCAAAUAAAUAAAGGCGGGACUUUCCUCUCAAUGCAGGCUGCAGUUUACUAUGGUGUGGAGUGGGACAUGGGAUGGGGUGGCUGGGUGAGAUUUACUACACUAGUAGAGUCACAAGGGGCUGGAGUGAAGUGGUGCUUUUCUCUGCUCUGCUCUCCUCCCUUUUUCUAUGCAGCUGCCUGGUAUGUGGGUCACACACCAUGAUUUUGUGUGUGUGUGUGUGUGUAGUGUGUUUUCACCCGCCUGUAUGUAUGCUCCUCUAUUCGUGUGUCUCUAUGUGUGUACCUCGGCGUGCACCUGCAUGUGUGUAUGUGUGUGCACACGUAUUCCUAUAUGUGUAUGUACCUAUCGCCAGACGGGGAGAUAUUUAAGCGUGACACGCUGCAUGGCCUGUUUGCCAUGCUCCCAGCCAUCAAGAGAAGUGUACACAUCCCUCACCUUGGCCAGGGAGGAAGGAUAUUUUUGAUGAAGUGGAGGGCUGAAUUUAGGCCCAGGCAUUCUCAGUAUCUGUCACCCAACUCCAAUAUAUCACCGUGCAGUGUGUUGCCCUCGGGAAGUGUGUGUCCGUGUUUACUCCCUCCCUCCCAGGUUCAGGUUGCUUUGAGCUCAGCUCAGUAAAUAUACACAGUGCCUUCAGAAAGUAUUCAUACCCCCCAACCUAUUCCACAUGUUGUUGUGUUACAGCCUGAAUUCAAAAUUGAUUCAAUAGAUUUUCUUCACACCCAUCUACACACAAUACCCCAAAUACUUCCAAAGUGAAAACAUGUCUUUAGACAUUUUAGCAAAUCUUUUGAAAAUGAAAUGAAUGUUAGAAUCACCUUUGGCAUCAACUACAGCUGUGAGUUUUUCUGGGUAAGUCUCUAAGAACUUUGCACACCUGGAUUGUACAAUAUUUGCACAAUUCUUCAAGCGCUUUCAAGUUGGUCGAUCAUUUCUAGUCAGCCAUUUAAGUCUUGCCAUAGAUUUAGUGCCUUAUUGCAAACAGGAUGCAUGUUUUGGAAUAUUUGUAUUCUGUACAGGCUUCCUUCUUUCCCCUCUCAUUCAGGUUAGUAUUGUGGAGUAACUACAGUAUUGAUCCAUCCUCAGUUUUCUCCUACCACAGCUAUUAAACUCUGUAACUGUUUGGCCUCAUGGUGAAAUCCCUGAGAGGUUUCCUUCCUCUCUGGUAACUGAGUUAGGAAGGAUGCCUGUAUUUAUGUAGUGACUGGGUGUAUUGAUACACCAUCAAAAGAGUAAUUAAUAACUUCACCAUGCUCAAAGGCAUAUUCAAUGUCUGCUUUUUAAAAUGUAUUUUCAUCUACCAAUAGGUGCCCUUCUUUGGGAGACAUUGGAAAACCUCCCUGGUCUGUGUGGUUGAAUCUGUGUUUGAUAUUCACUGCUCGACUGAUGGACCUUACAGAUAAUUGUAUGUGUGGGGUACAGAGAUAGUAAAGUCAAAAACAUUGUUAAACACUAUUAUUGGACACAGUGUGAGUCCAUGCAACUUAUUACGUGACUUGUUAAGCAUAUUUUUACUGCUGAACUUAUUUAGACUUGCCAUAACAAAGAGGUUGAUGAAUUUAAAGCUUUUCAUUUUUAAUUAAUUUGUAAAAAUUUAGAAAAACAUACACUUUGAUAUUAUGGGGUAUUGGGUAUAGGCCAGUGACACAAAAUCUAAAUUUAAUCCAUUUUAAAUUCAGGCUGUAAUACAAGAAAAUGUGGAAAAAGUAAAAGGGGUGUGAAUACUUUCUGAAGGCCAUGUACACAGUGACACUUGCUUUCCCUUCCUAAAGUGUCACUAUGUUUACUUCCCUACUAAGUUGGAGUACAUCAUUUUAACCAGUAUGUAUUGAGAUGUUUGGAUGUGUGGUGCUCAUGUACUGUAUCCUCAGUCGACUACAAAGUAUUUUGAAUAUGGCAGGGAAACUGACUGUGCUGUAUGUAUUUUUGAACAAUGACAUAACAAUGUCAUCUGCCCUGUUUAGAGUGGUUUACCAGAUGGCUUCCACGGAGUUUCUCAACCUCCACCAAAUAGGGAAUUGCCAUUGACAGCAAGUAAACAACCAGAACACCAACUGCCGCCAAUGUAAACAUCUUAAGGUAGCAUGUGUCUCUGCUACAUUCAAAACUUCGGCUGCAGUUGUCAGGUAAAAACAACAUCCUCCUUACACUACCCCUCCUUACGCUUUCACAACUGAGUCAACUCUAACAAUCUCGAUCCCAAAAUGUUGAAUUAACGUUGAAUGAAUGUAUUCUCACUGUAUACAUAUUAUCCGUAUAGGCUGGGUUAAAGGUCAUGAAGCAUCCAGUGACAGGUGGAAAUGAAGACCACACAACUUGAAGAGAUCAGGUUGAAGAGGGAGGACAUAUUUAACUUGUGGGUCAUAGGUCAAACUCUCUCCCUCUACCUUUCCAUCUCCGCUGCUCUCUUUCACUCUCACCUUUCUCCUUCCCUCUUUCUUUCCCUCUACCCUGCUCUUUCUAUCACCCCACCUCUCUCUUUCUUUACCUACAUGUAUAAUCCUGUCUUUUCCUCUUCUGACCCCCCCCCCCUCUCCUUCAUUCUCACCCUCUCUCUCAGCCUGGCUGUUAUUUCUCCAUAUGUUUUGACUAUGUGCUACCUGAGCUGGUCUGUGCUGUGGGCCUGUGGCAGGUCUCUGGCAGGCAGCAGUGUCAAGUUGGAGGGAGGCUUGGUGGUCUGUGUGUGACAUGGAGAAGGGCCCACCGGCACCGCAGCAACCCCGCUAAGGCCAGGUCUACAGCUGUCCCACCCUGCCAGGGCCUCUGCUUACAGUCACUGUGAGUUACGACCGUUGCUCCUUACUCACACACACACGCUGACAGGCGCACACACAGAGGUGAAUGCCCCCCCUACUAGCAACCACACACACCAUAGACACACACGCUGAGGCAAGAUAUAUUCCUACCAGGAGCUUAAGCCCUGUCUAAGAAAGCCCAUUCCCACUGGGCUUGUUAAAGACAGACCAUGUAGAAAGAGUACAUUUAAAGCCCACACAUCAAAUACAGGGGAAAUGUGAUGUGUAGCUAAUAGCUCUCUGUGCAUUCACACCCACAGCCCGUACCAGAGGGCACACACACACACCCCGUACCAGAGGGCGCACACACACACACACACACACACAGUACCAGAGGGCACACCCCCCGUACCAGAGGGCACACACACACACCCCGUACCAGAGGGCGCACACACACACACACACAGUACCAGAGGGCACACACCCCGUACCAGAGGGCACGCGCACACACACACCCCGUACCAGAGGGCACACACACACACACACACACACACACACACACACACACACACACACACACACACACACACACACACAACCCGUACCAGAGGGCAUGCAAACACACACCUCGUACCAGAGGGCACACACAAACCUCGUAACAGAGGGCACACACAAACCUCGUAACAGAGGGCACACACAAACCUCGUAACAGAGGGCACACACUCACAUCGUACCAGAGGGCACACACUCACAUCGUACCAGAGGGCACACACACACACACACACCUCAUACCAGAGGGCACAAACACACACACACCCACCCCAUACCAGAGGGCACACACACACACACACACACCCAACCCAUACCAGAGGGCACACACACACACACACCCCGUACCAGAGGGCACACACACACACACACACACACACAGUACCAGAGGGCACACACACAAUGAAUAACCCCCACCAGGGACCAGACGCACACAUAGACGAAUGAUCCUUAACAGAUGACACACACAAACUCCUAAAGCCCUCAAUCACAGGCGUGUACGGGCCCAGCAUACAUGUUUGUCCACAGAUCAAUCCAGCUGAUCCAGAAGCAGCCCGACCUUGACCUGACAGGUCAACAAUGCUCUCUCUCUCUCUCCAUUAUUGGCGAGAUGUUUGGACACAGCUUGUAGCAGGGUGAUGAGGCCAGAACUGAUAUUGGAUUUCAUAACCCUAUAUUGCUAUAGUCCAAUCAUUGAAAUGCUUUACUUUAGAACAGAAGCUUUUGCUAAUUAAAUCAAUACAAUUGUCCUGUUGUUCUACAGCAAGGAGAACAUCCCCUGAAGGUGUGUGUGUGUGUAUUUAGUGUGGUGCGGGUGUUGUGGUCAUGUGUGUGUGCAUAUGUGUUCAUGCAUGUAUGUGUGUGUGUCAAUGUAAUACAGUAUCUCAUGCAACAAAUCACCGGAUGGAAUGCUUCUUGGUCCACAGGAGAGGAUGGAUGGAGAGAAGAUGGAUGGAUAGAGAAUAGAGAUUAGAGAUGUAUGGAUAGAGGAUAGAGACUAGAGAUGGAUGAAUAGAGGAUAGAGACUAGAGAUGGAUGGAGAGAGGAUGGAUUGAGAAAGGCGUGGGUGUAGAUGAAUGGUGAGUGGGGGUCCUGCAGUACUAAAAGCCGGUGACCCAGACCAUACACACCCACUCACAGGGACCUAACAACACUCACAGGACUGCUCUUUAGUCCACUGCUACCACAUGCUAAAACACUUAGAUACAACACACACACACAGAUAGCAAAAUGCUAAAUGUGAAGUUCACAUUCAAAAUACAUCCCGAGACACAGACUACCAGUCAGAGACAUAAACACACGUUCUUGUGUGUGUUGCCAUGCAAUGGUGAUGAGCAGCACAUGACAUGAAUGGGGCGUGGAGCCCAACCUCUUAUCAGACAAAGGAGAUACACAGAGAAGAGAGAAGAAGGAGGGAAGGGGAGAGAAGGAGAUGAGGAGGGUAAGGGGGGAGGAGAGGAAGGGGACGUGCCGUCCCAGACUGCAGUCAUGAGGUCUCCAUCCCGUUCGACACGCCGAGUCUCGUGGGUAAAAGGCCAUAAAAGAAACGUUGCGCUAUAGCCAAAACCCCCCUCACACACAGUCAAGAGUCACAACACACACACAGUCAAGAGUCACAACACACACACAGUCAAGAGCCACAACACACACACACAGUCAAGAACCACAACACACACACACAGUCAAGAACCACAACACACACACAGGAACCGGACUGCGUAGAUCAAUGCCAUUCGCCCCGGGAGAACCCCUUUGGCUUUGAGUUGAGGAAGUCCAGACAAGCUAUUUCACACACACUGUUCAUGUGAUCCCAUAAAUUCACUUCCUUUUCUGUAUGUCUUGACCGAAAAGUUGCGUUUGUCAAUAAAAUGUUUGUUUUGCAAGUA
Salvelinus fontinalis (brook trout) is the source of this 11615-nucleotide long non-coding RNA. RefSeq lists it as uncharacterized. Lineage: Eukaryota; Metazoa; Chordata; Actinopteri; Salmoniformes; Salmonidae. The transcript has 2 exons. The record is from RefSeq and is a predicted model, not a curated record.